Molecule: ribosomal RNA, 326 nt
Filed under: uncultured Bacteroidota bacterium
Lineage: Bacteria; Pseudomonadati; Bacteroidota
Description: bacterial SSU rRNA
Rfam family: Bacterial small subunit ribosomal RNA
Source: RNAcentral
GAUGAACGCUAGCGGCAGGCUUAACACAUGCAAGUUGAACGGUAACAGGGAUAGCAAUAUCUGCUGACGAGUGGCGCACGGGUGAGUAACACGUUUGCAACUUACCUUUGACUGGGGCAUAGCCCGGAGAAAUUCGGAUUAAUACCCCAUAAUAUUUAUAGGAGGCAUCUUUUAUAAAUUAAAGCUUCGGCGGUCAAAGAUGGGCAUGCGUACCAUUAGCUUGUUGGUGAGGUAAAGGCUCACCAAGGCAACGAUGGUUAGGGGGUCUGAGAGGAUGAUCCCCCACACUGGUACUGAGACACGGACCAGACUCCUACGGGUGGCAG